UUAAGUGACUAAGCGUACACGGUGGAUGCCUAGGCAGUCAGAGGCGAUGAAGGACGUACUAACUUGCGAUAAGCGCAGAUAAGGCAGUAAGAGCCGUUUGAGUCUGCGAUUUCCGAAUGGGGAAACCCAACUGCACAAGCAGUUACUGUUAACUGAAUACAUAGGUUAACAGAGCAAACCGGGGGAACUGAAACAUCUAAGUACCCCGAGGAGAAGAAAUCAACCGAGAUUCCGGUAGUAGCGGCGAGCGAACCUGGAUUAGCCCUUAAGCACUCGGUGAAGUAGGUGAACAAGCUGGAAAGCUUGGCGAUACAGGGUGAUAGCCCCGUAACCGACGCUUCAUCGAGCGUGAAAUCGAGUAGGGCGGGACACGUGAUAUCCUGUCUGAAUAUGGGGGGACCAUCCUCCAAGGCUAAAUACUCCUGACUGACCGAUAGUGAACCAGUACCGUGAGGGAAAGGCGAAAAGAACCCCUGUGAGGGGAGUGAAAUAGAACCUGAAACCGUGUACGUACAAGCAGUAGGAGCACCUUCGUGGUGUGACUGCGUACCUUUUGUAUAAUGGGUCAGCGACUUAUAUUCAGUGGCAAGGUUAACCGUAUAGGGGAGCCGUAGCGAAAGCGAGUCUUAACUGGGCGCUCAGUCUCUGGAUAUAGACCCGAAACCGGGUGAUCUAGCCAUGGGCAGGUUGAAGGUUGAGUAACAUCAACUGGAGGACCGAACCGACUAAUGUUGAAAAAUUAGCGGAUGACUUGUGGCUAGGGGUGAAAGGCCAAUCAAACUCGGAGAUAGCUGGUUCUCCCCGAAAGCUAUUUAGGUAGCGCCUCGGACGAAUACUACUGGGGGUAGAGCACUGUUAAGGCUAGGGGGUCAUCCCGACUUACCAACCCUUUGCAAACUCCGAAUACCAGUAAGUACUAUCCGGGAGACACACGGCGGGUGCUAACGUCCGUCGUGGAGAGGGAAACAACCCAGACCGCCAGCUAAGGUCCCAAAGUAUUGCUAAGUGGGAAACGAUGUGGGAAGGCUCAGACAGCUAGGAUGUUGGCUUAGAAGCAGCCAUCAUUUAAAGAAAGCGUAAUAGCUCACUAGUCGAGUCGGCCUGCGCGGAAGAUGUAACGGGGCUAAGCAAUACACCGAAGCUGCGGCAAUGCCUUUUAGGUAUUGGGUAGGGGAGCGUUCUGUAAGCCGUUGAAGGUGGUCUGUAAGGGCUGCUGGAGGUAUCAGAAGUGCGAAUGCUGACAUGAGUAACGACAAAGGGGGUGAAAAACCUCCUCGCCGGAAGACCAAGGGUUCCUGUCCAACGUUAAUCGGGGCAGGGUGAGUCGACCCCUAAGGUGAGGCCGAAAGGCGUAAUCGAUGGGAAACGGGUUAAUAUUCCCGUACUUCUGACUAUUGCGAUGGGGGGACGGAGAAGGCUAGGUGGGCCAGGCGACGGUUGUCCUGGUUCAAGUGCGUAGGCUUAAGAGUUAGGUAAAUCCGGCUCUUUAUAAGGCUGAGACACGACGUCGAGCUGCUACGGCAGUGAAGUCAUUGAUGCCAUGCUUCCAGGAAAAGCCUCUAAGCUUCAGAUAGUCAGGAAUCGUACCCCAAACCGACACAGGUGGUCGGGUAGAGAAUACCAAGGCGCUUGAGAGAACUCGGGUGAAGGAACUAGGCAAAAUGGUACCGUAACUUCGGGAGAAGGUACGCUCUUGAUGGUGAAGUCCCUUGCGGAUGGAGCUGACGAGAGUCGCAGAUACCAGGUGGCUGCAACUGUUUAUUAAAAACACAGCACUGUGCAAAAUCGCAAGAUGACGUAUACGGUGUGACGCCUGCCCGGUGCCGGAAGGUUAAUUGAUGGGGUUAGCGCAAGCGAAGCUCUUGAUCGAAGCCCCGGUAAACGGCGGCCGUAACUAUAACGGUCCUAAGGUAGCGAAAUUCCUUGUCGGGUAAGUUCCGACCUGCACGAAUGGCGUAAUGAUGGCCACGCUGUCUCCACCCGAGACUCAGUGAAAUUGAAAUCGCUGUGAAGAUGCAGUGUACCCGCGGCUAGACGGAAAGACCCCGUGAACCUUUACUACAGCUUGGCACUGAACAUUGAACCUACAUGUGUAGGAUAGGUGGGAGGCUAUGAAGACGUGACGC
RNAcentral lists this ribosomal RNA (2126 nucleotides) under Vibrio cholerae. RNAcentral describes it as "bacterial LSU rRNA". It matches the Rfam family "Bacterial large subunit ribosomal RNA", at positions 1 to 2171 of the family's 2925-position model. The record is from RNAcentral. Lineage: Bacteria; Pseudomonadati; Pseudomonadota; Gammaproteobacteria; Vibrionales; Vibrionaceae.